RNAcentral lists this ribosomal RNA (57 nucleotides) under Sarcoptes sp. RNAcentral's name for it is "partial 5.8S ribosomal RNA". The record is from RNAcentral. Lineage: Eukaryota; Metazoa; Arthropoda; Arachnida; Sarcoptiformes; Sarcoptidae.
CGAACGCACAUUGCAGCCAUUGGUAAUCCGAUGGCUUCGUUUGUCUGAGCGUCGUUU